Molecule: microRNA precursor, 110 nt
Organism: Gallus gallus (chicken)
Lineage: Eukaryota; Metazoa; Chordata; Aves; Galliformes; Phasianidae
Source: Ensembl
GUUCUCCUGAGCCUGACUGCUUACAGUGAGGUUCUGUCAGAGCCAUUCUGGGUGGUUUCAUGCUUCUGGUGAUGGCGCUCGCAGAACUGCACUGACUGCUUUGCUUCCCU